Molecule: ribosomal RNA, 451 nt
Filed under: uncultured bacterium
Lineage: Bacteria
Description: partial 16S ribosomal RNA
Rfam family: Bacterial small subunit ribosomal RNA
Source: RNAcentral
UUCCAGACUCCUACGGGAGGCAGCAGUGGGGGAUAUUGGACAAUGGGGGAAACCCUGAUCCAGCGACGCCGCGUGAGUGAAGAAGUAUUUCGGUAUGUAAAGCUCUGUCAGCAGGGAAGAAAGAAAUGACGGUACCUGACCAAGAAGCCCCGGCUAACUACGUGCCAGCAGCCGCGGUAAUACGUAGGGGGCAAGCGUUAUCCGGAAUUACUGGGUGUAAAGGGAGCGCAGACGGCAGUGCAAGUCUGGAGUGAAAGCCCGUGGCUUAACUACGGGACUGCUCUGGAAACUGCGGCGCUGGAGUACGGGAGGGGCAGGCGGAAUUCCUGGUGUAGCGGUGAAAUGCGUAGAUAUCAGGAGGAACACCGGCGGCGAAGGCGGCCUGCUGGACCGUGACUGACGUUGAGGCUCGAGAGCGUGGGGAGCAAACAGGAUUAGAUACCCCCGUAGG